GGGGAUUGAGAUACGGCCCAGACUCCUUCGGGAGGCAGCAGUCGAGAAUCUUCCACAAUGGACGAAAGUCUGAUGGAGCGACGCCGCGUGAGGGAUUAAGGCUUUCUGAGUCGUAAACCUCUGUCAGGAGAGAAGAACAGCAUUGUCAUUAAUAUUGGCAUUGUUUGACGUUAUCUCCAGAGGAAGCUCCGGCUAACUCCGUGCCAGCAGCCGCGGUAAUACGGGGGGAGCAAGCGUUGUCCGGAAUCAUUGGGCGUAAAGGGCGUGUAGGUGGUUUUGUAAGUCGAAUGUGAAAUCUCACGGCUCAACCGUGAAAUUGCGUUCGAAACUACAUGACUUGAGUUAGGGAGAGGUGUACGGAAUUCCUGGUGUAGCGGUGGAAUGCGUAGAUAUCAGGAAGAACACCAAUGGCGAAGGCAGUACACUGGCCUGUAACUGACACUGAGGCGCGAAAGCGUGGGGAGCAAACAGGAUUAGAUACCCUGGUAGUCCACGCUGUAAACGAUGGGUACUAGGUUUUGGGGGUCGCAACCCCUUCAGAGCCGUAGCUAACGCGUUAAGUACCCCGCCUGGGGAGUACGAUCGCAAGGUUGAAACUCAAAGGAAUUGACGGGUUCCCGCACAAGCGGUGGAGCAUGUGCUUUAAUUCGAGGCAACGCGAAGAACCUUACCUGGGCUUGACAUGGGAGCUCUCUCUUCGGAGGGGGUUAGCUAUGUGAAAGCAUGGUUAGUCCACACAGGUGUUGCAUGGCUGUCGUCAGCUCGUGUCGUGAGAUGUUCGGUUAAGUCCGGCAACGAGCGCAACCCUCGCUAUCAGUUACCAACGGGUAAUGCCGGGGACUCUGACAGGACUGCCGGUGAUAAACCGGAGGAAGGCGGGGAUGACGUCAAGUCAUUAUGACCCUUACGCCCAGGGCUAGACACGUGCUACAAGGGUCGGUACAAUGAGCAGCGAGACCGCGAGGUGGAGCAAAUCUCAAAAAGCCGGCCCUAGUACGGAUUGGAGUCUGCAACUCGACUCCAUGAAGCUGGAAUCGCUAGUAAUCGCGUAUCAGCAUGACGCGGUGAAUACGUUCCCGGGAAUUGUACACACCGCCCGUCAAACCAUGGGAAUCGGUAGCACUCGAAGUCGCUGGCCCAACUUUAUUGAGGGAAGCGCCGAAAGUGAGAUCGGUGACUGGGGUUAAGUCGUAACAAGGUA
This 1201-nucleotide ribosomal RNA is filed under the name metagenome. Its description in RNAcentral is "bacterial SSU rRNA". It matches the Rfam family "Bacterial small subunit ribosomal RNA", at positions 314 to 1498 of the family's 1533-position model. The record is from RNAcentral.